RNAcentral lists this long non-coding RNA (1814 nucleotides) under Homo sapiens (human). RNAcentral describes it as "non-protein coding lnc-FOXQ1-17:3". The record is from RNAcentral. Lineage: Eukaryota; Metazoa; Chordata; Mammalia; Primates; Hominidae.
AGAAGAGGAGGAAGACAAUAUACACAUCUCAGCAGUCACAGUAGAAACCAACAGGUUUGUAAAGCCGAACUUCCACACUUGACACAUAGACUAGCAUAGUCUGAAGGCCAUAGUCCCAACCAACUGACACCUUUUAAAUGUUGUUAUAGGCUGCGUGUUGUUGUUCUACCUGCUUUUAUAAAGUUUUAUUGGCACAGCCGUGCCCAGUUUGCCUCCUCUGUCUUAGACUAUCAUUCUGAGGAGCAGAUUUAGUAAAGCCUGUCCUAGGACAUGGUUGUGGGCCCUAUCUCUCCGGCAAUAUAUUUAAUAAAGGACCGACAGUCUGUGUAUGUUUAUAAACAUAAAAGUCCCAGAAGAAAAACAAACAUGGAUCUCAUAAUUGAAAAUGAAGUCAAUUAAGACAGCUCAAGCAGGUACUCAUCCAGAGUUCCAUCUUAGACAAAUAGGUACCUUAGGUACUUGGCAUAUUGACACGACAUCUUGAUUAGAGAUGUUAGCGUUGGUCUAAAACAUGAAAAUAUUAGUUGAUGGUGAAAUAAAAUGCAUAGGAUAUUAUUUGGAGUUUGGUGUAAUAACAGAAUGUAAGGAUGAAUAGAAACCAAGAAGCAAAUCUCGCCCUUUCUGAGGCUGAGCAAAUUGAUGACCAGCUUCCCUUAGCAGCCAGCAGCACACAACCUGAACUUGUCAAUGUGUUUCUUCCUACUUGGGCAGUUCCCAUGUCUGUCGAUCACAAAAGAAGUAGACAACAGUAACCUUCACUCCCAUCCCAUCUCCCUCCUUUCCGAGUCUCCAGUGUCUAUUAACCCAUGCUGUAUAUCCAUGUGUACACAUUAUUUAGCUCCCACUUGGAAGUGAGAACAUGCGGUAUUUGACUUUGUUUCUGAGUUAUUUCUUAAGACAAUGGCUUCCAGUAUCAUCCAUAUUGCUGCAGAAGACAUGAUUGCAUUCUUUUCCAGGUCUGAGUAGUAAUCCAUGGUGUGUAUGAACCACAUUUUCUUUAUUCAAUCAUCCAUUGACAGACACUUAGUAGUGGGACUGCUUGAUGGAAUGGUAGUUCUAUUUUUAACAUGUCCUGCUGUUUCAUCUUAAUGUGCUCUGACUGAUGAAUGUUCAGCUAUAUUGACUGUAUCCUGUUUAAUCAAAGAAAAUACGAAUCUGCUAUAAAGUCUAAGUGUGUAAGAUGGCUGAAGAUCAGCCUGCAGGAGCCGUGGGAGUUCAAGAGGGUCCCAUGCAGCAUGAGAGGACAGAGACUCAGUAAAGAUUUGGAGCAGAAGAAACAUCUGCUGAGGACAGGGCUCACUAGGGAGAAGAACGUUGGCUUGGUGAGAGCCUCUGGGAAACCCUGCUGUCAGAUCAGUCUGGGGAACAUUUUCUGCCGAUAGCCAAACAAAAAAAUAGGAGCGGAACUUUACAGUGUGUCAGAAAACACAUAAAAAUUUUUAACAAAAAAGUCAAAAUGUUUGUUUGAUAAAUGUAUUCAAAGACAGUUUUUGCUAAGGAUAUGUUAAAGCUGACAUUCAUCAUCAUGUCACAGGAACUUUUAUUUGUAAUAGAACAUGAUACAGUUAUGUGGACAUUCAAAGCAAAAUUGACAAAAAUAUAGGCCUGUGUGUCUUGUUUCCAGAGCGUCUCUUGAACAUCUUCCAAAUACUUAAUUCUAGUGUCAGUGUCGUUAACUGUGAUGAAGAAAAAACAAUUAUCCUGGACAAUGUCAAUGGCUCACGUGGUGUCCAAGUUUAAGAACGUUUAGCACCAAAGGAAAAUUAUUUCAAACAGAGUUGGGUGUUUGAGUUAAAAAAAAAAAAAAGUCCCAA